This 253-nucleotide ribosomal RNA is filed under the name uncultured bacterium. Its description in RNAcentral is "partial 16S ribosomal RNA". It matches the Rfam family "Bacterial small subunit ribosomal RNA", at positions 524 to 776 of the family's 1533-position model. The record is from RNAcentral.
UACGUAGGGGGCAAGCGUUGUCCGGAUUUAUUGGGCGUAAAGAGCGUGUAGGCGGCUAAGCAGGUCCGCUGUGAAAACUCGAGGCUCAACCUCGAGACGUCGGUGGAAACCGUUUGGCUAGAGUCCGGAAGAGGAGAGUGGAAUUCCCGGUGUAGCGGUGAAAUGCGCAGAUAUCAGGAGGAACACCGGUGGCGAAGGCGGGUCUCUGGGCAGUAACUGACGCUGAGGAGCGAAAGCGUGGGGAGCGAACAGG